GAUGAACGCUGGCGGCGUGCCUAAUACAUGCAAGUCGAGCGAACGGACGAGAAGCUUGCUUCUCUGAUGUUAGCGGCGGACGGGUGAGUAACACGUGGAUAACCUACCUAUAAGACUGGGAUAACUUCGGGAAACCGGAGCUAAUACCGGAUAAUAUUUUGAACCGCAUGGUUCAAAAGUGAAAGAAGGUAUUGCUGUCACUUAUAGAUGGAUCCGCGCUGCAUUAGCUAGUUGGUAAGGUAACGGCUUACCAAGGCAACGAUGCAUAACCGACCUGAAAGGGUGAACGGCCAGACUGGAACUGAGACACGGUCCAGACUCCGACGGGAGGCAGCAGUAGGGAAUCUUCCGCAAUGGGCGAAAGCCUGACGGAGCAACGCCGCGUGAGUGAUGAAGGUCUUCGGAUCGUAAAACUCUGUUAUUAGGGAAGAACAUAUGUGUAAGUAACUGUGCUCAUCUUGACGGUACCUAAUCAGAAAGCCACGGCUAACUACGUG
RNAcentral lists this ribosomal RNA (497 nucleotides) under uncultured bacterium. Its description in RNAcentral is "partial 16S ribosomal RNA". It matches the Rfam family "Bacterial small subunit ribosomal RNA", at positions 28 to 507 of the family's 1533-position model. The record is from RNAcentral.